RNAcentral lists this long non-coding RNA (1844 nucleotides) under Homo sapiens (human). RNAcentral's name for it is "ARL14EP divergent transcript, transcript variant 4 (ARL14EP-DT)". Lineage: Eukaryota; Metazoa; Chordata; Mammalia; Primates; Hominidae. The record is from RNAcentral.
AGAUGCUGUCUUUUGCAGUCCUCCGAGAGGUUAGGGAUGUGGGAGGUCCCUGGGGGCCAUCUCUUACAAGACACAGUUUCCACUAAAUUGGAUCGUAUUUGUACAUCUCUACACCUGUGCGUGAUAGUAAACUUUUGCACCCAAAUACCCCGACCCCUGAAGGAGAGUGUGAGUUAAAAGGAUCUGAAGAACGGACCCUUUGUUUAAGCCUUCUCCGCUGGUGGUAUACUUACGAGGACCAGAGGUGAGGUGUCAGCAAGGAGGCCCACAGGUGGAAAGUGCUUUGGGCCAAUGGUACACACCUGCUUUAUUGGAUAGACGCAGAGAAGUAUGCCUGGUCACAGCCAGAGCUUACUCGAUGGUCUGAGAGUACCUGUGCUGAAAUGGAAUUGUCUUUGAGUGGACACUUCUUAGAUGAGACCUAUUGUGGCCAAUAGCUCCUGAGGAACUGAAGCCUUCAGUUCAAAACUUGUGUGAGAAAAAUGAAUCUUGCCAACUACUGGAGUGAGCUUAGAAAUGAAUCCAUCCCCAGUUGACCCUUGAAUGUAGCCUUGUCAGAGACCCAGAGACAAAGCAUCCUGCUAAUCUGCACUGGGUUCUAGGCCCACAGAAACCAUGGGAUAAUAACUUUGUGUUGCUAUAAGCCACUGAAAACAAACAAAUAAAAUACUUAAGAUGUUCCCCUGUGGAAGGGUUCCAUUGCCAGGGAUCUGCACUUCACAACCAAAGGGAUUAAAGAGAAUUGCCUUCUUCAGAUUUCAGACUGUGGCCUGCUUCUGGUUUUUCUUUCUAUAUUCAUAUAUAUGUUUGUUUAAAUCAUCCUACUUUUGGAGCAGGAAAAGUUACUAUUACAGUUUAUACAAAGGGAAGAAAUCUGGUACAUGCUAAAGUUAUUCAUCUGUAACUACCUGACGAGCCCAAUUAGUUGCUUGCUCCUAUGGAUUCUGAGCCUAAAAUCCCUUCAACAGAUCUUUGACCUUUUCUAAGUUAAGUUUUUGGAAGUAUCCUAUUUGUUCACUUACUUGGGCCAGAGACUAUAGAGAUUAAGAGAAAGUUUGAUAUUUGACCCUAAUUUUAGGCUAAAACAAUUUAGAUGGAAAGAACAGACACAAUUCAAUUUAACCAUCUUCAACUGCUGUGCUUUAGAAAGCUGGGAGUGUGGAGAAUGGAGUAGGUGUACAGAAAAAUAAGAACAGUUCUGUUCUUCAGGGCUUGAUAAAGGCUGCUGUGAGUUGGAUGGACAAUAAUUACUACUGACUAGGUCUAGCUGGGAUAGUUAGGGGAGACUUUCUGAAAGAGGCAACACAUGAGCUGGGUUCUAAAUCUCAAAUAGGAUUUGAUGGCUGAAGAUGAGGGUAAUAAAACAAGAGAAACAAGUACAUUCCAGAUAGAAAGAAUAGUAUAAGCCAAGAAAAACCUAUUCCAGGGCAGCAGGGAAGAGUCUGAAGUGGCAAAACAAAGUAGGAGGCAAAGCUGUCAAUAUAAGUAACUUGGUAGAGAAACAUUAGGAGUUUGGAUUUUAUCCCAUUGACUAGGAGGAUUUAAAAACAGAAAAUGCUCACAGGGGCCAGGCAAGUUAUGAGUAAAUAAAAGGUCCAGGUGUAAGUGCAACAGGGCCCAUGGACAUAGGAAUGGGGGAUGUGAAAAACCAACCUUUGCUAACAGUGAGUUCUACUAUGCAGUUUUAGCUGAUUAUAGCCAGACUCGAAAGCAACCUUUGUAGGGUUGACAGUUCUUGUGAUUGUUCAAGAAAAAAAUUUAUGUAAAAUCUACUGACUUGAAAAUACUAGAUUAAUUUAUUUAAUGUUAUAGAGCUCAAAUAAAACACAUUUGUCUUAUUUAUA